This 400-nucleotide small RNA is filed under the name Idiomarinaceae bacterium HL-53. Its description in RNAcentral is "cspA". It matches the Rfam family "cspA thermoregulator". The record is from RNAcentral. Lineage: Bacteria; Pseudomonadati; Pseudomonadota; Gammaproteobacteria; Alteromonadales; Idiomarinaceae.
UGCUGCUCGCAUUUAUCAGCACGAUUAACCCUCCGCUAGGAAGUUCCUCGUUUUCUGGAAAUGCUCGCCGCAUCAGAGAAGCAAUAGUGAUGCUGGGUUACCCAGCGAUUUUUAAAUUAAAGUAAGUUAGGAAAGAUUAUGUCUGAUACAGUAACUGGCACCGUAAAGUGGUUUAACGAAUCGAAAGGUUUCGGAUUCUUGGAGCGCGCCGGCGGUCCUGACGUUUUCGUUCAUUUCAGUGCAAUCACGGGUGACGGUUUCCGUACACUGAACGAAGGCCAAAAAGUUUCGUUCACUAUUACUCAAGGUCAAAAAGGCCCACAAGCUGAGAAUGUCUCUGUUGUUGAGUAAGCGAGUUACCGCUUAAAAUAAAAAUGACCGGCAAGCCGGUCAUUUUUUU